Molecule: ribosomal RNA, 460 nt
Filed under: uncultured bacterium
Lineage: Bacteria
Description: partial 16S ribosomal RNA
Rfam family: Bacterial small subunit ribosomal RNA
Source: RNAcentral
CCUACGGGUGGCAGCAGUGAGGAAUAUUGGUCAAUGGGCGGGAGCCUGAACCAGCCAAGUCGCGUGAGGGAAGACGGUCCUACGGAUUGUAAACCUCUUUUGCCGGGGAGCAACGGGGUCCUUGCGAGGGCCCAAUGAGAGUACCCGGAGAAAAAGCAUCGGCUAACUCCGUGCCAGCAGCCGCGGUAAUACGGAGGAUGCGAGCGUUAUCCGGAUUUAUUGGGUUUAAAGGGUGCGUAGGCGGGCUGUUAAGUCAGCGGUCAAAUGUCGGGGCUCAACCCCGGCCUGCCGUUGAAACUGGCGGCCUCGAGUGGGCGAGAAGUAUGCGGAAUGCGUGGUGUAGCGGUGAAAUGCGUAGAUAUCAGGAGGAACACCGGUGGCGAAGGCGGCCUGCUGGACUGCAACUGACGUUGAGGCCCGAAAGCGUGGGGAGCAAACAGGAUUAGAUACCCCUGUAGUC